UGGGAUGUAGCUCAGUGGUAGAGUGCUUGCUUAGAAUGCACUAAUGUCCUGGGUUCAAUCCCUAGCAUUGUGG
Molecule: transfer RNA, 73 nt
Filed under: Heterocephalus glaber (naked mole-rat)
Lineage: Eukaryota; Metazoa; Chordata; Mammalia; Rodentia; Bathyergidae
Rfam family: tRNA
About the family: Transfer RNA (tRNA) molecules are approximately 80 nucleotides in length. Their secondary structure includes four short double-helical elements and three loops (D, anti-codon, and T loops).
Source: Rfam by way of RNAcentral